AGUGAACGCUGGCGGUAGGCCUAACACAUGCAAGUCGAACGGCAGCACAGUAAGAGCUUGCUCUUACGGGUGGCGAGUGGCGGACGGGUGAGGAAUACAUCGGAAUCUACUUUUUCGUGGGGGAUAACGUAGGGAAUCUUACGCUAAUACCGCAUACGACCUACGGGUGAAAGCAGGGGAUCUUCGGACCUUGCGCGAUUGAAUGAGCCGAUGUCGGAUUAGCUAGUUGGCGGGGUAAAGGCCCACCAAGGCGACGAUCCGUAGCUGGUCUGAGAGGAUGAUCAGCCACACUGGAACUGAGACACGGGCCAGACUCCUACGGGAGGCAGCAGUGGGGAAUAUUGGACAAUGGGCGCAAGCCUGAUCCAGCCAUACCGCGUGGGUGAAGAAGGCCUUCGGGUUGUAAAGCCCUUUUGUUGGGAAAGAAAAGCAGCAGGUUAAUACCCCGCUGUUCUGACGGUACCCAAAGAAUAAGCACCGGCUAACUUCGUG
Molecule: ribosomal RNA, 492 nt
Filed under: uncultured bacterium
Lineage: Bacteria
Description: partial 16S ribosomal RNA
Rfam family: Bacterial small subunit ribosomal RNA
Source: RNAcentral